AGCGAACGCUGGCGGCAGGCUUAACACAUGCAAGUCGAACGGGCGUAGCAAUACGUCAGUGGCAGACGGGUGAGUAACGCGUGGGAACGUACCUUUUGGUUCGGAACAACCCAGGGAAACUUGGGCUAAUACCGGAUAAGCCCUUACGGGGAAAGAUUUAUCGCCGAAAGAUCGGCCCGCGUCUGAUUAGCUAGUUGGUGAGGUAAUGGCUCACCAAGGCGACGAUCAGUAGCUGGUCUGAGAGGAUGAUCAGCCUCAUUGGGACUGAGACACGGCCCAAACUCCUACGGGAGGCAGCAGUGGGGAAUAUUGGACAAUGGGCGCAAGCCUGAUCCAGCCAUGCCGCGUGGGUGAUGAAGGCCCUAGGGUUGUAAAGCCCUUUCGGCGGGGAAGAUAAUGACGGUACGCAAGAAUAAGCCCCGGCUAACUUCGUGCCAGCCGCCGCCGUAAU
This 451-nucleotide ribosomal RNA is filed under the name uncultured bacterium. RNAcentral describes it as "bacterial SSU rRNA". It matches the Rfam family "Bacterial small subunit ribosomal RNA", at positions 29 to 524 of the family's 1533-position model. The record is from RNAcentral.